UAUCAAUAAGCGGAGGAAAAGAAACCAACAGGGAUUGCCCUAGUAACGGCGAGUGAAGCGGCAACAGCUCAAAUUUGAAAUCGGCCCUCCGGUCGAGUUGUAAUUUGUAGAGGAUGCUUCUGGGCAGCGGCCGGUCUAAGUUCCUUGGAACAGGACGUCAUANAGGGUGAGAAUCCCGUAUGUGACCGGCCCGCACCCUCCACGUAGCUCCUUCGACGAGUCGAGUUGUUUGGGAAUGCAGCUCUAAAUGGGAGGUAAAUUUCUUCUAAAGCUAAAUACUGGCCAGAGACCGAUAGCGCACAAGUAGAGUGAUCGAAAGAUGAAAAGCACUUUGGAAAGAGAGUUAAACAGCACGUGAAAUUGUUGAAAGGGAAGCGCUUGCAACCAGACUCGUCGGCGGUGUUCCACCGGUCUUCUGACCGGUCUACUCUCCGCCGGCGGGCCAACAUCGUCUGGGGCCGCCGGAUAAGACGUCGGGAAUGUAGCUCCUCGGAGUGUUAUAGCCCUUCGUGAUGCGGCGCGCCCCGGGCGAGGUCCGCGCUUCGGCAAGGAUGUUGGCGUAAUGGUUGUCAGCGGCCCGUCUUGAAACACGG
RNAcentral lists this ribosomal RNA (593 nucleotides) under Xenostigmina sp. P3. RNAcentral's name for it is "eukaryotic LSU rRNA". It matches the Rfam family "Eukaryotic large subunit ribosomal RNA", at positions 41 to 664 of the family's 3401-position model. The record is from RNAcentral. Lineage: Eukaryota; Fungi; Ascomycota; Dothideomycetes; Mycosphaerellales; Mycosphaerellaceae.